RNAcentral lists this long non-coding RNA (899 nucleotides) under Homo sapiens (human). Its description in RNAcentral is "HSALNT0135712". Lineage: Eukaryota; Metazoa; Chordata; Mammalia; Primates; Hominidae. The record is from RNAcentral.
CAAGACCAGGACCUCUCUCUGGCCUUGGAACCCUUGGGACUGGAAGAGAAUUAAGUCAGGUGGGAGUCACAUGCUUAAUCAUAAGGCUAUUUUUUAUGCCCUGGCCGUAUUUCAGUCCCUGGCAGAGAUAGAGUCUACCUAUAAUUCAAACAUCUUGGACCCAGUAACCGCUCUGCUGAUGCGUGCCUCAAGUCCUGACAGCUGUGUAUGAACUAAGAUGCAUCUAUUCAGGCCUCUCUUUUCCAUGACGUAUCCUUGCAUCUGAACAAGCACGUGUGGUGCCUGCUGGAAAUCCAGCCACUCCAAGGAAGAGAGCAGGCUGUGUUCUCACGUGGUAUGCAGACACACACAAGUGUGCUGGAAAAGGAAACGUGAGACUAUGAAAACCAGACCGGCCCUGGAGAGCCAGCUGUGAGAGACAAGGAGACAGGCCUAAGGCAAGCCACUCCCCGCCAGCCUGCGUCAGCAGGCCGCAGGCACCCUUGCUUGUUCCUGCAGGAAACUCAAGGGGGCAUCGCAGCUAACUAUGGCUAGUGCAGCCCUCAGGCUGGCCAGCAACGCGACUGCCAGGCCCGGCAGGCCAAGCAAAGCCUCGGCUGCCAGCAGCCAUGCAGAUGGUAAUGAUUAACCCGAAAGUCAAACUAUGGAAAGUUCCAAGGGCCAGGAGAGUCCUUUGUUGCAUAAUAAACAUACCAAGCCCUCCCUGCUACCUUGGGGCAUUUUGUUCUGUAUCGUGUCUGCUUUUGCAACUCUUCCUUUCUGCUUGUAUCUGCCUGGAACCUCAUUUUAAAAACACAGGCUUAUGGCCAGGCGUGUGGCUCAUACCUAUAACCUCAGCACUUUGGGAGGCCAACGAGGGCGGAUCACCUGAGGUCAGAAGUUCAAGACCAGCCUGCCUG